UCUUGAUUUCGUUACUCUUUUCUCGUUUUUUUUUUCCUUUUAUGGCCUCUUUGCUUGAUGCUGAUUGACUUUGUUGAGAUGCGAUAUUGUUCUGUUCGUUGUUUCUUGUUUUGCUGAAUCUUGAACUUGGUUAGAUGAACUCCGACUUUUCAUAUGACGAAAUAUUGGUUGAUUGGAAGCAUAGAAGGGAAUUGUUGUUUUAUAAGUGGUGUACAAGGGCAUUUAGUCUCGUAUUUGAUUCAAGAAGUACGGCUUAUAUGUCUUUCUUGUGAUCUAUGCCCUAGAAUCUUGUUUUCUCCUUGAUCUGAACUUGCAAAUUAAACGCUAAGAAAUAUAGAGAUCGCACUGAUGACUGAUUUCGAUAAUUAGCAUGUGGAUGAUGGAUUAUCUGCUUUAAAAUUUCUUGAAGUUUCGAAUCUACAAUUAGGAAACGAGCUUCCUCUAUCUUUUUCUUGGUGUAUUUCACUGACGACUUUGUAUGGUAGAGCGAUCCAAGUUUUCUAACUCUUUUGACUUUUGAACAAUGAUUUGAACUGUAGACUAAUGCAAAUUUUUACAUUUCACUCGAUCACAUCUCUGUGAAAUAUCUUUUAUAUAAUUAUACAAAACAAAAUUCAGUACAACCAGUAAGUAUAAUACAUGUAUUCACGUUGCAAUAUUCAGUUUUAAGCAACUUUAUUCCUGGAAGGAAGUGCUCUCCCCUACUUAUAUAAUCAUAUGUCCUACAAAUAAAUAACAAGCAUCUCAAACAAAAAACUUCCUGAUCUAAUAUUACGGCUUGUUUGAAUUUAAGUGUUUAAAUAAGUGUUAUGUGGAAAAAAAGAAAUCUUCUAAGCACUUAGAAAGUUUUUGAAACAUGCUCUUAAUCUUCAAGUCUUAUCACACAACGAUUCUAAGGUCACCUGUUAUCCUGGUCUUGUAAGGUUUUGACAUGCCCCAUUUUCAAACAUGCCCAAAAUU
Molecule: long non-coding RNA, 960 nt
Organism: Cucurbita moschata (crookneck pumpkin)
Lineage: Eukaryota; Viridiplantae; Streptophyta; Magnoliopsida; Cucurbitales; Cucurbitaceae
Exons: 2
Source: RefSeq, a predicted model, not a curated record